CUGUGGAUUUGCCAUGGGCGAAGCCUGUGCAGCGACGCCGCGUGAGGGAUGACGGCCUUCGGGUUGUAAACCUCUUUCAGUAGGGAAGAAGCGAAAGUGACGGUACCUGCAGAAGAAGCGCCGGNUAACUACGUGCCAGCAGCCGCGGUAAUA
RNAcentral lists this ribosomal RNA (153 nucleotides) under Pseudarthrobacter sulfonivorans. Its description in RNAcentral is "partial 16S ribosomal RNA". It matches the Rfam family "Bacterial small subunit ribosomal RNA", at positions 355 to 525 of the family's 1533-position model. The record is from RNAcentral. Lineage: Bacteria; Bacillati; Actinomycetota; Actinomycetes; Micrococcales; Micrococcaceae.